This 57-nucleotide transfer RNA is filed under the name Loxodonta africana (African savanna elephant). It matches the Rfam family "tRNA", at positions 8 to 63 of the family's 71-position model. Rfam says of the family: Transfer RNA (tRNA) molecules are approximately 80 nucleotides in length. Their secondary structure includes four short double-helical elements and three loops (D, anti-codon, and T loops). The record is from Rfam by way of RNAcentral. Lineage: Eukaryota; Metazoa; Chordata; Mammalia; Proboscidea; Elephantidae.
UGGCACAGUAGUUAUGCACUUGGCUGCUAACCAAAAGGUUGGUGGUUCGAACCCACC